RNAcentral lists this ribosomal RNA (253 nucleotides) under uncultured bacterium. RNAcentral's name for it is "partial 16S ribosomal RNA". It matches the Rfam family "Bacterial small subunit ribosomal RNA", at positions 524 to 776 of the family's 1533-position model. The record is from RNAcentral.
UACGUAGGGGGCUAGCGUUGUCCGGAAUCAUUGGGCGUAAAGCGCGUGUAGGCGGUCCGGUAAGUCCGCUGUGAAAGUCGAGGGCUCAACCCUCGAAUGCCGGUGGAUACUGUCGGGCUAGAGUGCGGAAGAGGCGAGUGGAAUUCCUGGUGUAGCGGUGAAAUGCGCAGAUAUCAGGAAGAACACCCGUGGCGAAGGCGGUUCUCUGGGACGGUACUGACGCUGAGACGCGAAAGCGUGGGGAGCGAACAGG